GCUGGGCAUGGUGGCGCAUGCCUGUAAUCCCAGCUACUCAGGAGGUUGAGGCAGGAGAAUCGCUUGAACCCAGGAGAUGGAGGUUGCAGUGAGCCAAGAUUGUGCCACUGCACUCCAGCCUGCGAGACAGAGUGAGACCCUGUCUCAA
This 148-nucleotide non-coding RNA is filed under the name Chlorocebus sabaeus (green monkey). Lineage: Eukaryota; Metazoa; Chordata; Mammalia; Primates; Cercopithecidae. The record is from Rfam by way of RNAcentral.